RNAcentral lists this ribosomal RNA (588 nucleotides) under uncultured bacterium. RNAcentral describes it as "bacterial SSU rRNA". It matches the Rfam family "Bacterial small subunit ribosomal RNA", at positions 338 to 944 of the family's 1533-position model. The record is from RNAcentral.
CCUACGGGAGGCAGCAGUGGGGAAUCUUGCACAAUGGAGGAAACUCUGAUGCAGCGAUGCCGCGUGAGUGAAGAAGGCCUUUGGGUUGUAAAGCUCUUUUGUAGGGGAAGAUAAUGACUGUACCCUAAGAAUAAGGUCCGGCUAACUUCGUGCCAGCAGCCGCGGUAAUACGAAGGGACCUAGCGUAGUUCGGAAUUACUGGGCGUAAAGCGCGCGUAGGCCGUUGAGUUAGUUAAUUGUGAAAUCCCAAAGCUUAACUUUGGAACUGCAAUUAAAACUGCUCGACUAGAGUUUGAUAGAGGAAAGCGGAAUACAUAGUGUAGAGGUGAAAUUCGUAGAUAUUAUGUAGAACACCAGUUGCGAAGGCGGCUUUCUGGAUCAACACUGACGCUGAGGCGCGAAAGUAUGGGUAGCAAAGAGGAUUAGAUACCCUCGUAGUCCAUACCAUAAACGAUGAUUGCUAGAUGUUGGAAAUUUAUUUUACAGUAUCGCAGCUAACGCAUUAAGCAAUCCGCCUGGGGAGUACGACCGCAAGGUUAAAACCUCAAAGGAAUUGACGGCUGNGAGUGCGAGCGACACGAGGAGAGG